AUUGAACGCUGGCGGCAUGCCUUACACAUGCAAGUCGAACGGCAGCACGGGGGCAACCCUGGUGGCGAGUGGCGAACGGGUGAGUAAUACAUCGGAACGUGUCCUGUAGUGGGGGAUGGCCCGGCGAAAGCCGGAUUAAUACCGCAUACGAUCUACGGAAGAAAGCGGGGGACCGAAAGGCCUCGCGCUAUAGGGGCGGCCGAUGGCAGAUUAGCUAGUUGGUGGGGUAAAGGCCUACCAAGGCGACGAUCUGUAGCUGGUCUGAGAGGACGACCAGCCACACUGGGACUGAGACACGGCCCAGACUCCUACGGGAGGCAGCAGUGGGGAAUUUUGGACAAUGGGGGAAACCCUGAUCCAGCAAUGCCGCGUGUGUGAAGAAGGCCUUCGGGUUGUAAAGCACUUUUGUCCGGAAAGAAAACUUCUGCCCUAAUACGGCGGGAGGAUGACGGUACCGGAAGAAUAAGCACCGGCUAACUACGUGCCAGCAGCCGCGGUAAUACGUAGGGUGCGAGCGUUAAUCGGAAUUACUGGGCGUAAAGCGUGCGCAGGCGGUUCGUUAAGACAGAUGUGAAAUCCCCGGGCUUAACCUGGGAACUGCAUUUGUGACUGGCGAGCUAGAGUAUGGCAGAGGGGGGUAGAAUUCCACGUGUAGCAGUGAAAUGCGUAAAGAUGUGGAGGAAUACCGAUGGCGAAGGCAGCCCCCUGGGCCAAUACUGACGCUCAUGCACGAAAGCGUGGGGAGCAAACAGGAAUAGAUACCCUGGUAGUCCCACCGCCUAAACGAUGUCAACUAGUUGUUGGGGAUUCAUUUCCUUAGUAACGUAGCUAACGCGUGAAGUUGACCGCCUGGGGAGUACGGUCGCAAGAUUAAAACUCAAAGGAAUUGACGGGGACCCGCACAAGCGGUGGAUGAUGUGGAUUAAUUCGAUGCAACGCGAAAAACCUUACCUACCCUUGACAUGGUCGGAACCCUGCUGAAAGGUGGGGGUGCUCGAAAGAGAACCGAUACACAGGUGCUGCAUGGCUGUCGUCAGCUCGUGUCGUGAGAUGUUGGGUUAAGUCCCGCAACGAGCGCAACCCUUGUCCUUAGUUGCUACGCAAGAGCACUCUAAGGAGACUGCCGGUGACAAACCGGAGGAAGGUGGGGAUGACGUCAAGUCCUCAUGGCCCUUAUGGGUAGGGCUUCACACGUCAUACAAUGGUCGGAACAGAGGGCUGCCAACCCGUGAGGGGGAGCUAAUCCCAGAAAACCGAUCGUAGUCCGGAUCGUAGUCUGCAACUCGACUACGUGAAGCUGGAAUCGCUAGUAAUCGCGGAUCAGCAUGCCGCGGUGAAUACGUUCCCGGGUCUUGUACACACCGCCCGUCACACCAUGGGAGUGGGUUUUACCAGAAGUGGCUAGUCUAACCGCAAGGAGGACGGUCACCACGGUAGGAUUCAUGACUGGGGUG
This 1454-nucleotide ribosomal RNA is filed under the name Caballeronia glathei. RNAcentral describes it as "Burkholderia glathei 16S ribosomal RNA". It matches the Rfam family "Bacterial small subunit ribosomal RNA". Lineage: Bacteria; Pseudomonadati; Pseudomonadota; Betaproteobacteria; Burkholderiales; Burkholderiaceae. RNAcentral also lists the same sequence under 1 other name. The record is from RNAcentral.